RNAcentral lists this ribosomal RNA (259 nucleotides) under uncultured bacterium. Its description in RNAcentral is "partial 16S ribosomal RNA". It matches the Rfam family "Bacterial small subunit ribosomal RNA", at positions 793 to 1055 of the family's 1533-position model. The record is from RNAcentral.
GUCCACACCGUAAACGUUGAUAACUCGAUGUGUGCAAUACACCGUACGCGUCUAAGCGAAAGCGUUAAGUUAUCCACCUGGGAAGUACGCUCGCAAGAGUGAAACUCAAAGGAAUUGACGGGGCCCGCACAAGCGGAGGAGCAUGUGGUUUAAUUCGAUGAUACGCGAGGAACCUUACCCGGGCUUGAAAGUUAGUGACCGUCUGUGAAAGCAGAUUUUAUAGCAAUAUACACGAAACUAGGUGCUGCAUGGCUGUCGU